GCAGAUUUGGCAGGUGGUUUUGGUGGAUCUUUGACCGCCCUGCCUUGGAGCUCCCAUCCCAGGACUAUUGCUGCUUCUUCCAUAGUCGUUGCCACGACCACCAUGACCUUUUCUGCGACUGUUGCCGCAACCUCGUGGACCACUGCGUCCUCGCCUAGAGAAGUUGCCGGAUGACUGGAAUUGAGCGCCCUCCUGGUAUG
RNAcentral lists this long non-coding RNA (200 nucleotides) under Setaria italica (foxtail millet). RNAcentral describes it as "long non-coding RNA (SITA_LNC002906)". Lineage: Eukaryota; Viridiplantae; Streptophyta; Magnoliopsida; Poales; Poaceae. The record is from RNAcentral.